RNAcentral lists this ribosomal RNA (327 nucleotides) under Triticum aestivum (bread wheat). RNAcentral's name for it is "partial small subunit ribosomal RNA". Lineage: Eukaryota; Viridiplantae; Streptophyta; Magnoliopsida; Poales; Poaceae. The record is from RNAcentral.
AUGCCUACCAUAUUACCAUGUCAGCCUCUAACCUUUUCACCCUUCCUAGCAAACCGUUGUUUGGCUAUGUUACCGCUUUGCUCAGCCCCUCUUAUAGCGUCGUUAGUUGCAGGUGAAGUUGAAGAUUUCUCCAUGAUGGACAAGAUUAUGCUGGGAUAUCACAAUAUCUCUUAUUUAAUUAAUGCAUCUAUAUACUUGGUAAAGGGUGGAAGGCUCGGCCUUAUGCCUGGUGUUUUGUUCCACUCUUGCCGCCCUAGUUUCCGUCAUAGCGGUGUCACUACUGGAAUCAGCUACUUUGCCAUCUGCCAGCUCUUUGCCGUCUGCUAG